UGAGUGUGGUGCAGGUCCAGGAGGUUUAAAUGUGAUCCUGAUGGUGUAUGCGCAGCAUGGUUCACGACUUGGGCAAACGAAGGAUUCAAACGGGCACGGCUUAUAGGGGGUUCGAGCGGGGCUGAUCCAAUCGACAGCGGCUUGACAUGCAGAGUGGGACAUAUAGAAAUAACGUGGCGUGGCUUUACACAACAUAAUGCAC
RNAcentral lists this long non-coding RNA (202 nucleotides) under Elaeis guineensis (African oil palm). RNAcentral's name for it is "long non-coding RNA (EGUI_LNC049671)". The record is from RNAcentral. Lineage: Eukaryota; Viridiplantae; Streptophyta; Magnoliopsida; Arecales; Arecaceae.